AUUGAACGCUGGCGGCAGGCCUAACACAUGCAAGUCGAGCGGAUGAAGGGAGCUUGCUCCUGGAUUCAGCGGCGGACGGGUGAGUAAUGCCUAGGAAUCUGCCUGGUAGUGGGGGAUAACGUCCGGAAACGGGCGCUAAUACCGCAUACGUCCUGAGGGAGAAAGUGGGGGAUCUUCGGACCUCACGCUCUCAGAUGAGCCUAGGUCGGAUUAGCUAGUUGGUGGGGUAAAGGCCUACCAAGGCGACGAUCCGUAACUGGUCUGAGAGGAUGAUCAGUCACACUGGAACUGAGACGCGGUCCAGACUCCUACGGGAGGCAGCAGUGGGGAAUAUUGGACAAUGGGCGAAAGCCUGAUCCAGCCAUGCCGCGUGUGUGAAGAAGGUCUUCGGAUUGUAAAGCACUUUAAGUUGGGAGGAAGGGCAGUAAGUUAAUACCUUGCUGUUUUGACGUUACCAACAGAAUAAGCACCGGCUAACUUCGUG
Molecule: ribosomal RNA, 484 nt
Filed under: uncultured bacterium
Lineage: Bacteria
Description: partial 16S ribosomal RNA
Rfam family: Bacterial small subunit ribosomal RNA
Source: RNAcentral